UACGAAGGGACCUAGCGUAGUUCGGAAUUACUGGGCUUAAAGAGUUCGUAGGUGGUUAAAAAAGUUGGUGGUGAAAGCCCAGAGCUUAACUCUGGAAUGGCCAUCAAAACUUUUUAGCUAGAGUAUGAUAGAGGAAAGCAGAAUUUCUAGUGUAGAGGUGAAAUUCGUAGAUAUUAGAAAGAAUACCAAUUGCGAAGGCAGCUUUCUGGAUCAUUACUGACACUGAGGAACGAAAGCAUGGGUAGCGAAGAGG
RNAcentral lists this ribosomal RNA (253 nucleotides) under uncultured Pelagibacterales bacterium. Its description in RNAcentral is "partial 16S ribosomal RNA". It matches the Rfam family "Bacterial small subunit ribosomal RNA", at positions 524 to 776 of the family's 1533-position model. The record is from RNAcentral. Lineage: Bacteria; Pseudomonadati; Pseudomonadota; Alphaproteobacteria; Candidatus Pelagibacterales.